Molecule: ribosomal RNA, 459 nt
Filed under: uncultured bacterium
Lineage: Bacteria
Description: partial 16S ribosomal RNA
Rfam family: Bacterial small subunit ribosomal RNA
Source: RNAcentral
CCUACGGGGGGCAGCAGUGAGGAAUAUUGGUCAAUGGACGGAAGUCUGAACCAGCCAUGCCGCGUGCAGGAAGACGGCUCUAUGAGUUGUAAACUGCUUUUGUACAAGGGUAAACCUGAAUACGUGUAUUCAGCUGAAAGUACUGUACGAAUAAGGAUCGGCUAACUCCGUGCCAGCAGCCGCGGUAAUACGGAGGAUGCGAGCGUUAUCCGGAUUUAUUGGGUUUAAAGGGUGCGUAGGCGGACAGUCAAGUCAGCGGUAAAAAUGCGGUGCUCAACGCCGUACGGUCGUUGAAACUGGGGGCCUUGAGUGGGCGAGAAGAAGGCGGAAUGCGUGGUGUAGCGGUGAAAUGCAUAGAUAUCACGCAGAACCCCGAUUGCGAAGGCAGCCUUCCGGCGCCCGACUGACGCUGAGGCACGAAAGUGCGGGGAUCGAACAGGAUUAGAUACCCCUGUAGUC